AGAGUUUGAUCCUGGCUCAGGACGAACGCUGGCGGCGUGCCUAAUACAUGCAAGUAGAACGCUGAAGACUUUAGCUUGCUAAAGUUGGAAGAGUUGCGAACGGGUGAGUAACGCGUAGGUAACCUGCCUACUAGCGGGGGAUAACUAUUGGAAACGAGAGCUAAUACCGCAUAACAGCAUUUAACCCAUGUUAGAUGCUUGAAAGGAGCAAUUGCUUCACUAGUAGAUGGACCUGCGUUGUAUUAGCUAGUUGGUGAGGUAACGGCUCACCAAGGCGACGAUACAUAGCCGACCUGAGAGGGUGAUCGGCCACACUGGGACUGAGACACGGCCCAGACUCCUACGGGAGGCAGCAGUAGGGAAUCUUCGGCAAUGGGGGCAACCCUGACCGAGCAACGCCGCGUGAGUGAAGAAGGUUUUCGGAUCGUAAAGCUCUGUUGUAAGAGAAGAACGUGUGUGAGAGUGGAAAGUUCACACAGUGACGGUAACUUACCAGAAAGGGACGGCUAACUACGUGCCAGCAGCCGCGGUAAUACGUAGGUCCCGAGCGUUGUCCGGAUUUAUUGGGCGUAAAGCGAGCGCAGGCGGUUUAAUAAGUCUGAAGUUAAAGGCAGUGGCUUAACCAUUGUUCGCUUUGGAAACUGUUAGACUUGAGUGCAGAAGGGGAGAGUGGAAUUCCAUGUGUAGCGGUGAAAUGCGUAGAUAUAUGGAGGAACACCGGUGGCGAAAGCGGCUCUCUGGUCUGUAACUGACGCUGAGGCUCGAAAGCGUGGGGAGCAAACAGGAUGAGAUACCCUGGUAGUCCACGCCGUAAACGAUGCCUUUAAGGUGUUAAGCCCCUUUCCGGGGCUUAGGGCCGCACCUAACGCAUUAAGCACUC
This 880-nucleotide ribosomal RNA is filed under the name uncultured bacterium. RNAcentral's name for it is "bacterial SSU rRNA". It matches the Rfam family "Bacterial small subunit ribosomal RNA", at positions 8 to 869 of the family's 1533-position model. The record is from RNAcentral.